GAGAAGAAGAAAUGGCAGACUAUGCAGACUAAGCACAUUUCAGCAGAAGUAGAGAAGUUACUUGCAUAAGUGCUGCUGUGAUAUAAAAGAAAUCUGUUUAUUUUGAACUGGAUAAUGUACAUUCUGUUCUGAGAGUUCUCCGGUUGGGUUUUUUUUUUUUUUGGACGACCGAUACCUGAACGAGCCAGUGGUUCCAGAAGCAGGAGGGUCCCGCCGCCAUCUUUGUGACUCGGACUGAAGCCUGGAAAGACGGAGGGCCUGGUGCUGCUGGAUGUUUUUGCGUGUACAACAGAUAAGCUUAUUGAACAUUUGGGCCCCAAAUCUUUUUUUUAUUCCACAAACUAUUUGUUCAUGAACAUUUUCAUAACGGACAACUUAAGUGCACAUUGACUGAACUGACUGACCGAACUGUUAUGUUGAAGGACUAACUGGAAUAUGUAAUUUAUUUUGUUGAAAUAAGCUUUAAAGCUACUGUUUAAAAAAAACUACCCUCAAUUUUCUAUAUAUUAAUUUGAUAUUUUUAUAUAAGGGUGGACAAUUUAAGUUUUAUACCUUAAUUUUAUUAAGGUAAUUAGUGUUACCUGGAUUAUUAUUUUGUUUGUGGGGAAAGAAAAAUAAACUUGAGUUGUUAAAACUUGUAUGCUUAUCAUCCUCCUCUGUGACCCUAGAACAAAAGUAACUUUCCUACUGAAUUUAUUGCUAAUUAAAUUAAGUAGUGGUUACACAAUCAUAAUUUCUGUCUCUGCUAUUUGUUAACUUUAGAGUAACUCUUACUUUUGUUUUGGACUUAUUUACGCACACGUUUUGUCCAAACCAGAUAUUUGACAUCAGGACAACAUUCACAAAAAAAAAAAGAAGAAUCAAAAACUGGUAAACAAGUGGUGACCUUGGUGCUGCCCAAGGUCCUCACCAACAUCCACCUGUUAGAAAAGAGCAUUAUUAGUGAAGAUCCAGCAAAACAAUGUUUUCCAAGUUAGUAUAUCAUGGUUACCUGAGUCUUCUGUGAAAUGAUGUCGUGUCUUUUGUGAUUUCCUUCCACACAAAUGUUGCAAAUGUGCAUGUGAUCAGUUAUGCAGUAAAAAUCUUUAGACUUCUGAUGAAGACAGCUUCUGUCUUGGAUGUCACUCCCGAUGUCUUUGAUAAUGUGUUUUUGCAACUGUGUGCCAUGUUGACGGGCAUGGGGCUCACAGAAGAAGUCGUUGCAGGUCUGGCAUAUCUUCACAGCUGCAUUGUGGUUGCAAAUGUCACACAUCAACUCCCCAUGGCUGAGAGGAGUAAAGAAAAGCAGGUAAUUACAAAAUAAAGAACAGUUGAAUUAUAUUUGUAAAGUGGAAUCAUCCCACAAAUGAAGACCUUUUCUACUCAUAAACUAAUCAGAAAUGCUAAUUUUAUUUUGCAGAGUCAGAUCAAGGUCUUUAAUGGCGUAUUAAGAACUCAGUGGGCUCCCUUGUUGGCAGGUUGAUAGAAUGUGGAUGGAUUUAAACAUAAGGAAAACUUCUUUGUUGAGGUUGAGGUGGGUUAUUAUCAUUGUGACAUGAUGUCAGGAUCCUUGAUGGAGCCUGGAGAAAAAGUGUUUGAAUGACAGCAACUUCUACAUUUGGGUUAGAUGAUACCGAUCAUUUAAAACUGUGUCACUGCUGCUUUGGGAAUCCCUAGAUUUAGACGAUGAAUAAUCACAGGUGUCAGAUGAAGAUAUGGACUCAGAUAUUUUUGGAUAGUACCGUCUAAGAGAGAAAAGAAGAAAAACAUGUAUCAGUCAGUAUUUGUUUAAUUUUGUAACUAAAUCAUACAAGGCACAGUUAAUGGAUAUUUACGUAAUUUAUGUCAAUUGUUUAUUUUAUUAUGCAACUUGUUUUACCUCCAUCUAUUAGAAUAUGUAAGCACAUUAAAGUCAAUCCUAACCAACUUUGAGAGUGUUCUUAGGUUGUUUUCUUGUGUGAAAUGCUCUUAAAAAAGUAUUUUUCAACUGGCUACUGAAACAUUUAGCUAAUCUGUUGAUCAUAUUUAAAAUGACUGAAUUUUUUUUUUUUUAAAAAUAUACAACAAUCUACUAAAGAUUUUUUAAAAAAAUUACCUCACACAAUAAGAUUGAGAACAUAGCAUUUAAAUAGCCCACUACUCUUUAAAUACUGUAUUUAAUGAAUCAUACCUGUGGGUAACAUCAUAUGGCGUCUUUAAGACAGGAUAUACAGAAGAUGGAGGGCUUUGUUCUAGAAAUCUGAACGUCAAAAUACACAGAUCAGAGCACAUUGCUUUUACAAUGUGUUGUACAUUAAACACAGAUGUAAACUAAACAGUCUGACUCUGUCUCAUAGAGAGAAUAGUCAUCUUCUGGUUUCUCUGAUCUGAAAAUGUCAGAUCAGAGUGUAAAAAUUCGCUGUAUCAUAACAUCAAGCAGUGAUCCUGCCAGGUGUACACAGUUGGGAAUUUUCGAAAGGUUUUCAGCAAAGAAGACAUAGUUAUAUUUGUUCUUUUUAACUGAGUUAACCUGUGUUGGAGCAUUAACCCUGUCUUGCAUAUAUUGUGGUUGGGACAAAAUAUUUGUAAAUGUCAAGAAAAGGAAAAAUAAGGAGAGACUUCAGCGUUACUAGAAAAGGAUGCAGUACUGAUUAAAUGUCCUCUGUGAACUUGCGCUGUUUUCAUUAUUAACAUCAAUGAAGUAUCAGAUUAGUAUCAGUUGAUGCUUGUACUAAAAUAAUUCAUUGACUGACACCAACAAUUCAGCCCCCAAAUUCAAAAAUUAUAGACAAAUAUAUUAAAUACAUCAAGGAUAAUUAAAUUAUGUCAACCUUCUAAUUUGAUAUAGAUGGUAAGUUUUCCCAGAAACUAAAAGUGUAAAUCUGUUUAUAUUAGAAGAAUGGAAGUGUGGAGACUUAAAAAACACAAAAAAAAAACUAAUGCUUAUUUAUUUAAGUUAUUAAAAUGGAAAAACUGAGAUAAGUGCAAUCGAGGCAUUUUCUCUCUAAUGGUGAUACACUUUCUGUAAUACUCGGGAGGAAUUUCACUCAAAAUGUUCAUCCGCUAUGCUCAAUUCAAUUAUCCACCUUUUAUUUUGCUGUAUUCUGGCCUUUGUUUGCAUGACGUUCAUAUUAUUUUUGGUUGUCGUUUUUUUGUGUCAUGUGAAAAGGCAUAACAAAGAAAUAUUUUGAAAAGUACUGAAAACAUAGAGGAGAUAGAUGGCAGGCAGACCUAUCUUACACUGUGUUCAUUAUUCUCAUUUAAUAAGAUACAUUUAGGUUUACAAUGACUUGAUCACACAUUUCAAAAGAGAAAAUCUGCAAGAACGGAUUGGAGAGAACGAGACUUUGGAUCAAGAAUGCAACUUAACUAUGAUCAAUAAUAAGCUAAAUAAUACAACGUACAACCACAUAAUAGUUACAAGUAUACUCUCAAGAAAAUGAUUUUUUUUAUUCACAGAAUCAAGUUAUCAGUAGCAUAAAUUGGUUUGGUAUUAAAAAAUGUACAACCUCUAAUCUGGAUUCCGACAAGACGUUAGUACAAAAAAGACUGGAAUCUAAGUGUUACUAAACUCUCACGCAGAAUUACCAGCUAGAAAAAAAACGUACAUUUUUUUAUAUAUUUUCAUUCAAAAUUUGGUCCAAAGCAUGAAAUCUUUUAAGCACACUUCAGAACAAAUGGAUACAACUGUGUUAUAUAAAUCUUUUUCAGAUGGAGUCGGAAUAAUGAUCAGUUCAACAAUAA
This is a long non-coding RNA of Xiphophorus couchianus (Monterrey platyfish), 3702 nucleotides long. RefSeq lists it as uncharacterized. The record is from RefSeq and is a predicted model, not a curated record. Lineage: Eukaryota; Metazoa; Chordata; Actinopteri; Cyprinodontiformes; Poeciliidae. The transcript is spliced from 2 exons.